GAAGGCGNCUUUCUGGACGAAAACUGACGCUGAGGCGCGAAAGCCAGGGGAGCGAACGGGAUUAGAUACCCCNGUAGUCCUGGCCGUAAACGAUGGGUACUAGGUGUAGGAGGUAUCGACCCCUUCUGUGCCGGAGUUAACGCAAUAAGUACCCCGCCUGGGGAGUACGACCGCAAGGUUGAAACUCAAAGGAAUUGACGGGGGCCCGCACAAGCGGUGGAGUAUGUGGUUUAAUUCGACGCAACGCGAAGAACCUUACCAGGUCUUGACAUUGAUGGACAGAACUAGAGAUAGCUCCUCUUCUUCGGAAGCCAGAAAACAGGUGGUGCACGGUUGUCGUCAGCUCGUGUCGUGAGAUGUUGGGUUAAGUCCCGCAACGAGCGCAACCCCUAUCUUAUGUUGCCAGCACUUUGGGUGGGAACUCAUGAGAGACUGCCGCAGACAAUGCGGAGGAAGGCGGGGAUGACGUCAAAUCAUCAUGCCCCUUAUGACCUGGGCUACACACGUACUACAAUGGGAGUUAAUAGACGGAAGCGAGAUCGCGAGAUGGAGCAGACCCGAGAAACACUCUCUCAGUUCGGAUCGUAGGCUGCAACUCGCCUACGUGAAGUCGGAAUCGCUAGUAAUCGCAGGUCUGCAUACUGCGGNGAAUACGUUCCCGGGCCUUGUACACACCGCCCGUCNC
RNAcentral lists this ribosomal RNA (685 nucleotides) under uncultured bacterium. Its description in RNAcentral is "bacterial SSU rRNA". It matches the Rfam family "Bacterial small subunit ribosomal RNA", at positions 717 to 1400 of the family's 1533-position model. The record is from RNAcentral.